AGACCUCUGAUCAGAAAAGACUACCCGCUGAAUUUAAGCAUAUCACUAAGCGGAGGAGAAGAAACUAACCAGGAUUUCCCUAGUAACGGCGAGCGAACCGGAAAGAGCCCAGCUUGAAAAUACGCGG
Molecule: ribosomal RNA, 127 nt
Filed under: Leucobryum juniperoideum
Lineage: Eukaryota; Viridiplantae; Streptophyta; Bryopsida; Dicranales; Leucobryaceae
Description: partial 26S rRNA
Rfam family: Eukaryotic large subunit ribosomal RNA
Source: RNAcentral